AAUCAUCAACCCUCCAAACUUUGGUGAGGAUGGGCUUGGUCUUGAGGGUUUUGUGGGCGCUCCGCCGUCCGCUCCCUUUAAAUCUAUUAGCGUGACUUCCCUCUGCUGGCCGUCUCUUGGCGUGAUAGUCAUCUACGUCAUUCUGUGCGGUUCUCGUUGGGCUCGCUUCUAAUCGUCUUCGGACAGUCGACCUGGUCGUGUGCGUGUAUGCGCCUCUUCCACCUCAAAAACC
Molecule: unclassified non-coding RNA, 232 nt
Filed under: uncultured Agaricales
Lineage: Eukaryota; Fungi; Basidiomycota; Agaricomycetes; Agaricales
Description: sequence contains ITS2
Source: RNAcentral